Molecule: transfer RNA, 72 nt
Filed under: Arctium lappa (great burdock)
Lineage: Eukaryota; Viridiplantae; Streptophyta; Magnoliopsida; Asterales; Asteraceae
Description: tRNA-Lys
Source: RNAcentral
GGGUUGCUAACUCAACGGUAGAGUACUCGGCUUUUAAUUUCUUGUCUAAUGAAGGAACUGGGUUUUAGAUGU